RNAcentral lists this ribosomal RNA (117 nucleotides) under Salmonella enterica. RNAcentral describes it as "partial 23S ribosomal RNA". The stretch from base 1 to 105 matches the Rfam family "Bacterial large subunit ribosomal RNA", at positions 2821 to 2925 of the family's 2925-position model. The record is from RNAcentral. Lineage: Bacteria; Pseudomonadati; Pseudomonadota; Gammaproteobacteria; Enterobacterales; Enterobacteriaceae.
AGUCUCCUGAAGGAACGUUGAAGACGACGACGUUGAUAGGCCGGGUGUGUAAGCGCAGCGAUGCGUUGAGCUAACCGGUACUAAUGAACCGUGAGUCUUAACCUUACAACGCCGAAG